GGAGGAGAUCCCUCAGGAGACCAUCCGCCACCUCAUCAGGAGCAUGCACCGGCAUUGUAGGGAGGUCAUACAGGCCUGUGGAGGCCACACACACUACUGAGCCUCAUUUUGACUUGUUUUAAGGACAUUACAUCAAAGUUGGAUCAGCCUGCAGUGUGUUUUUCCACUUUAAUUUUGAGUGUGACUCCAAAUCCAGACCUCCAUGGGUUGAGAAAUUUUAUUUCCAUUUUUUAAUUUUUGUGUGAUUUUGUUGUCAGCACAUUCAACUAUAUAAAGAACAAUGUAU
Pelobates cultripes (western spadefoot toad) is the source of this 286-nucleotide non-coding RNA. The record is from the annotation of a GenBank genome assembly. Lineage: Eukaryota; Metazoa; Chordata; Amphibia; Anura; Pelobatidae.